GGUCGUUUAGCUCAGUGGUAGAGCGUUCGGUUCACAUCCGAAAGGUCGGUGGUUCGAGUCCACCAACGACCACCA
RNAcentral lists this transfer RNA (75 nucleotides) under Candidatus Woykebacteria bacterium RBG_16_43_9. Its description in RNAcentral is "tRNA-Val". It matches the Rfam family "tRNA". Rfam says of the family: Transfer RNA (tRNA) molecules are approximately 80 nucleotides in length. Their secondary structure includes four short double-helical elements and three loops (D, anti-codon, and T loops). Lineage: Bacteria; Candidatus Woykeibacteriota. The record is from RNAcentral.